RNAcentral lists this ribosomal RNA (216 nucleotides) under Glomeromycotina sp. RNAcentral describes it as "partial small subunit ribosomal RNA". The stretch from base 87 to 216 matches the Rfam family "Eukaryotic small subunit ribosomal RNA", at positions 733 to 864 of the family's 1831-position model. The record is from RNAcentral. Lineage: Eukaryota; Fungi; Glomeromycota.
GGGUCAGUAGGUUGGUCGUGCCACCGGUACGUACUGGUCUCACUGAUUCCUCCUUCCUGAAGAACCGUAAUGCCAUUAAUUCGGUGUUGCGGGGAAACUGGACUGUUACUUUGAAAAAAUUAGAGUGUUUAAAGCAAGCUAACGCUUGAAUACAUUAGCAUGGAAUAAUGAAAUAGGACGAUCGAUCCUAUUUUGUUGGUUUCUAGGAUUGACGUA